CAGUCGCCGCGGGAAUACGUAGGGUCCGAGCGUUGUCCGGAAUUACUGGGCGUAAAGCGCACGUAGGCGGCUUGGUAAGUUAGAGGUGAAAGCCUGGAGCUCAACUCCAGAAUUGCCUUUAAGACUGCCGUGCUAGCAGGUGAGAGAGGUAAGUGGAAUUCCGAGUGUAGAGGUGAAAUUCGUAGAUAUUCGGAAGAACACCAGUGGCGAAGGCGGCUUACUGGCUCAUACUGGACGCUGAGGGGCGAAAGCGUGGGGAGCAAACAGGAUUAGAUACCCCUGUAGUCCCUGUCUCUUAUAA
Molecule: ribosomal RNA, 301 nt
Filed under: uncultured bacterium
Lineage: Bacteria
Description: partial 16S ribosomal RNA
Rfam family: Bacterial small subunit ribosomal RNA
Source: RNAcentral